Molecule: ribosomal RNA, 440 nt
Filed under: uncultured bacterium
Lineage: Bacteria
Description: bacterial SSU rRNA
Rfam family: Bacterial small subunit ribosomal RNA
Source: RNAcentral
AACGCGAAGAACCUUACCCAGGUUUGAAAUACAGUGGAAGAUACCAGAGAUGGUAAUUCUCGAAAGGGCUGCUGUAUAGGUGCUGCAUGGCUGUCGUCAGCUCGUGCCGUGAGGUGUUGGGUUAAGUCCCGCAACGAGCGCAACCCUUAUCAUUAGUUGCCAACACGUGAGGUGGGGACUCUAGUGAGACUGCCUAGGUUAACUAGGAGGAAGGUGAGGAUGACGUCAAGUCCGCAUGGCCUUUAUGUCUGGGGCUACACACGUGCUACAAUGGUCGGUACAGAAGGCAGCAAAGCCGUAAGGUGGAGCAAAUCCGUAAAGCCGAUCUCAGUUCAGAUUGUGGUCUGCAACUCGACCACAUGAAGUUGGAAUUGCUAGUAAUGACGUGUCAGCAACAACGUCGUGAAUACGUUCCCGGGCCUUGUACACACCGUAGAGAC